GUAACCCGCUCGGCAAACCGCCUCUACAAGCUCUUCUUUCGACCCGUGCAUCCUGUGUGCCUUGCCGUGGGCCAUGUCUCCGACGCGUGGCGUUGGCAUGCCCGGCUAGGACACCAGCACUUCGACGGGUUGCGGAAGAUGGCGCGAGGCAACCUCGUCCAUGGGCUACCUCACAUCGAGCACGCCGACGAGUUGUGCGAUGCGUGUCUUGCCGGGAAGCAGCGGCGCCUGCCCUUUCCCGAGAAGGCAUGCUAUCGGGCACAGAAACCCCUGGAGCUAGUUCACGGGGACCUCUGCGGCCC
RNAcentral lists this long non-coding RNA (302 nucleotides) under Triticum aestivum (bread wheat). Its description in RNAcentral is "long non-coding RNA (TAES_LNC006368)". The record is from RNAcentral. Lineage: Eukaryota; Viridiplantae; Streptophyta; Magnoliopsida; Poales; Poaceae.